Heterocephalus glaber (naked mole-rat) is the source of this 2223-nucleotide long non-coding RNA. Lineage: Eukaryota; Metazoa; Chordata; Mammalia; Rodentia; Bathyergidae. The record is from Ensembl.
GCUCAGACAGGAUCAGACGUUUAUAAAACAAGUGAAUAUGCACAAACUGUGGGAGAAACACACCUUCCCAGCAAUCGAAAAUCUCUAUAAAAGUGCAUUUUGCCUGCAACUGUCUCUUCCUGAGCUGGUCCUUGGAUCAGGGUCUGGGGCAUUGCUCGAUGGCAGCCCCAGAGACACCUGGGCCAGGAGGGAGGCAUGAGCCAUCAUGGAGCUCCAGGCCACCACACCUCUCCCCCAGAGCUCCAGGAGUGGACCGCUCCAUUGCACAGGAAGCUUGUCCUGGGAAUGGGCCAGUGUGCUGGGAAUGGCAGAGAGGAAGAAGAGCCAUCCAAUAGGCAGGAGAAGGGAAUCAUCCUGGUAGCUGAAGGUGCUGCUAAAUAAAUACUGAGUCUGGCCCUCAGCCUUUGACCUUCAGGCUCGCCCCACUCUCCUUCCUCCCGGCUGGGGCUGAGGGAAGAGAAGCCCCCACCAGUGCUCUGAAAACACCAUCACCUAUGCCGUUUCCCCACAUGAUUACAGGACAUCUCUGGUGAGGGUGACACACAGAAAGGAGCGGGACUCUAGAGGCCAUCUCAGGAAGAAGCCUGUCAAUGUGCUGGACACUGAGGAGACAGGAGCCUGCCCCAGGGUUCUGGUUUGAGGAUGAGACAGUGAAGGCGGACCAUGGGAGUCAACAGCUCUGAGGCUGGAAAGGUCACAGGGGGAGGUAGAGAGGAAGAGGCCCAGAGGCCAGCUUAAUGUGACACGUGAAAACCAAACCCAACAGGAGCUAGUUAGCCUUUCAGCUCUGUGCAUGCGUGGGCACACACGUGCACACACGCACACAGCCCCACGCACGUCACACACACACACACACACACACACACACACAGGUGCACGCUCUGUGGCUCAAAGUGUAGGCCACGGGGUGGAAGGAAGACUUGCUCUAGCUGGCCACAUAGGCCUUCUCAUGGCUUUCCUCAGCACAGGCCUGUGACAGUGCGGGAGCAGAGGCCCAGGCCAUCCCUGGAAUGCAGGCCUGGCUGCUCUGGUGCAGACCCCUGCCUAUUGCCUCUGGAAGGGAUGGUGUGCUGGGUGUGAGUGCCUCUGGCAGUCCCCACCCAGUCCCUCUGUCAGCUGUCUCCUGGGACAGCUGACACGCUGCUGGAUAUGGACCAGCCCGUGGCAGGCCCUGGAAGCCUACAGAACAAUGAUGAGCCGGCCUCCCUGGCUGGCCGUCAGCUGUCCUCACUGAGCACCGUGAAGUCCUGCGAGUGUGGCCACCUGGCCUAGUCUCCUGGUGGAGGGACUAGCUCUCGGAGGCCAGCCCCUGCACAGCUCCUGGGUAGGCUCUGCACUGGCUUUCAGCUUCUGGGGGUGGAACAGUGACAGCUGGGAUUCUGUUCCUCACUUUGGGGUCCAAGCCUGAAAGGGCAGAUGUGUUUCCUUGGCUACUACACCAGUCAGGGAUCUGGGCAUACUUCCAUCUGAGCGCAGGAGACUUUCCAGAGAUCUGUCUAGAGCCUUGUCCUCAGUCCCAGAUGAGGAUCGGUGGCAGGGAUUUUAAAAUAGGAGAGAAGACAGGCCAGGUGGCUACGUCUGGGCAGCACCCACCCGUUCAGCCUGCCCCGUCUCCUGCGUCCAAGUGGGAACUCAGCAGGACUCCGGCCGCCACUAGAAUCCUGUGCUUUGGACAAGAGCCGCUUGAAAUGUGGGCCUUCUGCUCUUCCCCAGCAGGGUCCUUCUACUGCGUCCUACUCAGACAAGGUGGAAGGUCAGGGCCAUGACCUCUAGCCUUAGGUUUGGAGGCCAGGUGGCUGCUCCAGGCACUCCUCCAGCCCAGGCAACACUCAGGAUCAUGAGUGUAAAUAUGUAUACGUGCACACACACACACACACACACACACACACACACACACACGCUCUGUCUCCGUCGGUGAUCAGCUUCUUCAGCUUCUUGGUGGGUUGCACUCUGGCCCACAGUAGCUGCUUGGGCACCCAGGCUUUGCUCAUGGAGCAGUGGCUCUGCAACUGGAAGAGAAAAACAAGAGCUAAAGGAACAUUCGGGAGGCUGCUUGGUUGCCAGAGACUCGAGCUCCUCUGGCUGCUUCCCUGGGGACCCUGACACUGGGAACUGGGAUGAAUUGGCAGAGUGAGCUGCGUGGGCUCCUGGGGACAGGGCUGACUGAACACUGCCCUUCAAAGUGCCAGCUAGAGGACCAGAGAUUUAGCUCAGUGGUUCUGC